Molecule: long non-coding RNA, 6644 nt
Filed under: Ananas comosus (pineapple)
Lineage: Eukaryota; Viridiplantae; Streptophyta; Magnoliopsida; Poales; Bromeliaceae
Description: long non-coding RNA (ACOM_LNC019322)
Source: RNAcentral
AAAGGGCAAACUUCGAAUACCACUCCUGUAGUUUCAUACUUUCUUACUUUAGUAUUCUAUAGUUUAAAGUGUAUUAAUUUAGUACCUUGUGAUUUUAUUUUCUGUUUUCGCCAGCUCCUCUGUUAACAUUUCAUUAAAUUAUAUACAAAAAAUUUCAGAUACCCCACCUAAGUUUAUCGAAUAUUCACUUUAGUACCUUUUAGUUUUAACUUUGUCACCGAUUUAACGAAAAAAAAUUAGUGGAAGGAAUAAUAAAAAUAAAAUGAAAUCACGGAGUACUAAACUGAUACACUUUAAACUAUAGAGUACCAACGUGAGAAAGUGCAAAACCGCAUGGAUAGUAUUUGAAGUUUUCAAGUACAAACCUUUUCUAUUAGUAUUGGAAGAAGAAUAAAAAAGGAAAAAUUAUAAAAAUGUAUUGGGACACCCUCACAUUUUAAUAGUUUUGAAAUAGACCCUCCACCUUUUGUGUUUUUCUUCUGGGUAAACUUUAAUUUGGUAUAGUUUAUUUUUACUUUGUCAUACUAUAGUUUAAAAAAUUAUACCUAACCAUUCUGUGAUAUCAUUUUUGUUUCAGUAAUAAAAGUUGCCAUCAAAUAGGAUAGCAAGGUGAAUUUUUUAAAAAACUACAGAGUGAUUACGUGCCACUUUUUGAAUCACAUGAUGGCAAAGUGAAAAUCAACUAAACCAUAGGACGACAAAUUGAAAUUUAGCAAAUUUUUUUUAAAGCAACGCUAUGAACGAUCUCCACCAUUAGAUUGUGGUUUUAAAAGCAUCCAUUUUAUAUUUUGAAAGGUUAAAGAAAUAUUUAGAUUUUUUUUGAAUUUUUGAAUUUAAAGUGGUUGCAUGCUUCGUGGAUAGGGGUUGUCACCACAAUUUUGUAUCAUGAGAGAAGGAAAGAUUGAAAGCACUCUCAAAUUUUUUAGAUUUUCAAAAGUAUGAAACCUAGUACUUUUAUAAAUUAACCCUUAGUGACAUUUCCAAUGUUUUAACUCUUUUUAUCUGAGUAAUUUUUCUACAAUUGAUUUAGAUAUCAUGAAAAUUAAUGACUUUGUUAGUUGCUGACCGUCACCAGUUGAUAAAAUUUGAGAUUUCAUCAGUAGAAAAAAGUGUGUUGAACAACUAAAUUAACAAAAUAACCACCCGAUUUUAACAAGAUCUCAAGUUGUUUUUCAUCACUGCACAAUUUGAAUUUAAAAAAGAAAAUCAAAAGUUGAUAGGGCAUUAAUCCAAAGAAAAAUAGUUGAAAGGCCUAGCGCAAAAAAAGUAUAUGAGUGAGGGGUUAUCUGUAAAUUUUUCUGAAGAAAAAUCAGAAAAGAUAAUAACUAAUAAUUAAAGCACAUGGUGAAAGGCACCUACUGGGGAAGAACAUGGACUUCUUUGCACACAAAAAACAAGAUGUAAAUUUAGAGUUAAGAAUAAAAAUUAGCAGCAGAUUUUACUAUGCCCCAAAGUAUCUGUGGUUGAAAAAAGUAAAAUACACUGUAUCAAGUGUAGUUGGCUAAAAAUUUGAUGAUUCACAUUCGAGAUUUUCUUAUUAUCUUUUUUUUUUUUUCUUUUUUAAGUAAGAGGCCGACAUUAUUAAAUUAAAUGAAAGAAUUAUUUUUCUCACGUCCGGAUUCAAAUUUAUGACCUACUGCUCUGAUACUUCUUGUGAAACAACCGUUAUUAUCUGAAAACUUAAAUCAGUAGAGAGUGAUAUUUUUAAUUUUUAAUAUUUAAAUGGCAUGAGAUACACAUGAAUCCAAGUCAAAGAUUCCAACUAAAGAUGCUAAUGAAAUCUUUAAUGCAGAAAAUUCGAUGCCCAAAAGUUGUGGGCACGACGAAUAAAGACAAAAGUUAUCAAUGGAGAAAGAGUUUGUAGAUUACAAGAUACCAACACAAGAAGAGUCUUUUUUUGAGUACUUUUUUCUCUUGCUUCUCUCCUUCGUUAGAUAAUGACCACUUUUGGACUAAUUAAGUGUCUCUCUCUCUCUCUCUCUCUCUCUCUCUCUCUCUCUCUCUCUUAAUUCUCUGCAGUGCACUUCUAAAAACCUGUAAUAAAGAUUUCAAAAUCAAAAUCUAACUCAUUAAAUGUAUUCUAUAAUACAAGAUCUAAACCUGAACUCACCCAGAAGAAGAUCGUUCACAGAGGACUGGAAUGCGGUGUGAUCUUAGGUUCUAUGUUAGUUAAUUCGCGAAUUAUUCGAAAAUUAUUCGCGAAUUAUUAAAAAUCCGAAUUAAACGGUCCGUUUACGAAUUUUUUCCAUAGAUAGAGAAUUAUUCGCGAAUUAUUCCCGAAUUAUUGAAAAUAUGAAUAAAAAAUAUAUAUAAUUUUUAUAUUUAAAUAUAAAUUAUCUUAUAUUUUAUAUCUUAUAUCUUAUAUUUUAUGCCGAAUCCGUUUUUAAGCCGAAUUUUUCAACGAAUUUAAAGAUUAGAAAACAAAUUUUAUGCGUAUUAUAUCCGUACCGAAUUUUUGCCGAAUCGGAAUUAACUAACUAUGCUUUGGUUAGAUGAGGCAAAGAAUUUUGAAAGAAAAGGUAAAAAAAUUAAAAUAUAUAUCUUUUUGGUAAAAAUGAUCAGAAUGUUCUAACUAGUAUUCAAAAAUUUGACUGUUAGAUAGGGCAUUUUGGUUAAAAACUAAAGAUUAAUAAUAUUAAAAAGUUAGCUCUAUUGUUGGUAUUUUAGUUUUUUUAAAAAUUUAUAAAAUUUUUAAAAGAGUUUUAAAAAAGUUAAGUAUAAUUUUGUAAAUUAGAAAUUAUAAGUCAAAAAGUUAUAAUUUAAAAAUUAGUUAGAUUUUUUUCUAAAAAAAUAAUUUUUUUCAAAAAAAUAUAACAAAAGAAGGUUGGGAGAACUUUUAAAAACCACCCUUUUUACCGGGCGGGCACGAAGCUCGGCCCGUGCAGGGCGAAACGGAGGAUCACGGCUCGGCCCAAAUUUAUAACUGGGUCGGGCCGGGCCAAUACUUAGCCCGAAUCGGCCCGAAUAAUGUGAGCCGUGUCAGCCUGCCACGGCCCACAUUACACUCCUAGAAUGUUCUAGCGCAAGUGAUAAAAGAUUUGGUAGUUGGUAUCUGAGGUCUCAAGUUCGAGUCCUAGUUGAUUUACAUUUUCAGCUAAGUUUAUUAUUUUUAAAAGAAAUAAACAAAGCGGAUAGUAUGUUAUCUUUCUCUCUAAAAAAAAAAAUAAUUGCAUAUAAUUUUAUAAGACUUAAAAAUAAAUUAAAAAUCUUUUUUUUUCUUUCGAUUUUGAUAAUAUGCCAUAAUGAUGUCAAUAAGUUAGAAUACAAAAAAUAAGUUUCUUUUUUUUUAUAUUUUGAAGCUUUAUAAAACUAUAUGUAAUAUAUAAGAUCAAAACGAAUGCAUAAUUAAUAACUUUAAUUACAUAGAGCAGUUUAUACUAUAUAGCAACUACACUGCAUUAUCAAAACUCAGCCAAUCACAUCUAUCUUUUGACAGAAAAAUACAAUAAAAAUAUUUUUCUUAGAACUCAUGAUGAGAUGAAUGAAGAAUCGUGUGCAUUAUUCGUUGGAAAUUUUCUGGAAUAAGCCGUCGCAUCUUCCUUAGCUUCCUUAUGAGAGAUAUCCAAUCAAUCAGAAUUGAGAUUAAAGUUGAUCUUUAUCCUCGCCGCGUCCUUUAUAUGGAAAUCAGAGUACAAUCAGAGUACAGUCGUACUGAUGAGAAUUUUACCCCACAAGAAAUUGAACAAAAAGCUGCCGAAUUGGCCUAUUUCUUGCGCGUACCAAUUGAAGUAUUUUGAAAUGAAUUGAACACAAUAAAGAAUAAAUGUUUUCUCGGCAUGGGGGGAGGAACUUGCUAAUUCCUUUUUUAAUACAUCACAUCACCUGUAUGAUGGCCACAUUAUAGACAUUUUUACUAGUAAACUAGGCUCCCGUAAUUUUACGGGAAAAUAUGGCACAAGCUUCUACCACUAAUUAGUAACUUUCCAGCGUAACAAUGAUUUAAUUAUUGAGUUUUUGAACAUGUGAGACAUGCUUUAUGCUUUUCUUGUGGUCAACCAUACGACACAUUGUGAUAAUAAUAAUAAUAAGCAUAGAUUUUCGAAAGAGUUUUUUUUUUUCCAUUCAAUGGUAGAAGCAUAAUAAUAAUAUACAGGAAAACUUAAAACAACUCUCCAUUGACAUAAUUCUCCCCAAAAGUAAAACAAAUCAUUAUAUGUUGGCAAACAACACCUAGAGAGAGAGAGAGAGAGAGAGAGAGAGAGAGAGAGAGAGAUCUUUUCACAUAGAAAUAUCGAGAGAGUAAAAAGUGAAAAAGAAAACCAAAAGAACUUGAAACAAAAGCCAAGAUCAACUACAGAAAAAGUCGCAUGAUUUUUCGGGCUUGUUUGGUAUUGAGUUUCGAUGCGUUCCCGUGCGCCCCCAGAAUAGCUAAUCAGAAAUAGCUAUCAUUUGGUAGGAACCCCAGAAGUCGUCGCUAAUUCAAACUGCACAGUUAGUUCAAACAAAGCAAGAGUGAGUAGCGAGAUGGCCCUUCAAAAAUCCAAAAUUGUGCAGUUGAUUCGAACUGCUUAUUGCUAUAUCUCUACAUGAUCCCUUUGAGCGAUGCCGCUGAGAAAAUUGCCGAGCAACCUCUGAUCCAUCACCAUAUUCGGUACCUGCAUUGAGAUUUUGUCACAAUUGGGUACUCAAUAAGCAGGGGCGUAAAUGCAUGGUUGUUUCUGAACGUUUACUUAUUAUGAUUUGGUUCUUGAAUUAUUCACUAAAACAAUUUUUAUCCGCAAUCCCAGAUUCACUUUCCAUUCAUACACAUGAAAUUGUGAAUUGCUGGUGGCUUGUCAUGUUAAAACACAAGUUAUUGGCAAAAAAACAAUUAUUGUAUUAAUUAUAGUAAUACAACGUAACAGCAAUCAAGAAUGUUGAUGGACAUCAGGGGGUAUUUUCAUUCUUUUUACAGAAAACCAAUGACACUGCAAAAACAAGAUCAAAUACUAAUCCAUUCAAGUUCAUUCUAGCGACUAAAUCGCGACGAAUCAAAAGUGUUCAGGAACUACUGUACAUGUAUCAAAUAUAAAUAGAAGAAAUGCAAAUAGAAGCUACGCAGAGAUUAAUACCUUGUCUCCAAAGAAGAUUUUCGAGUUAUUGGCAAUCGAUUCAAUGAAUUUGAGUUCAAGAUACUCGGGUGUGAGCUUCAGUCUAUUAGCUUCUGCUUCUUUCGUCACUCUGGAUAAAAUGAAGACAAUGUGUAUCAUCAAUUCAUUAUAUAGACUACAGAGAAAUAUUAUCAUAUUAUAAAUUGCAUAAAUAUCUCUUUACAUAUACAUGUGUGAAAACUAAAAUUUUCAUAUGCAUAUUUAAUAAACUCCGCUUCUUGCAUUAUACUCUUGUACUUAAAAUUAUCCACCUCUAUUGAGAACUUUUGGAGGCUAACUGUAGAUAUAGCCGAUGAAGCUUGAUUCAGAUUCAGUUUAUCGACUGGGAGUUGCGUUUGAAACAAUUUUGUCCCUGAAGUUUGCUUUGGUUUGUCCAUAGAAUAUCAGUUGUAACAAUGUAGUCCAUGAAGUUUCAUUUUUUAUUUAUUCCGUCCUCAUAAUUUGAAUUUUAACAAAGCAAUGUCCAACAAAGUGACGAAGCAGCACAUUUUUUACAUGGGAUUGUUAUGCCGAACAAACUUCAAGGACUAAAUUGUUACAGAUAAAACUUUGAGAAACAAAAUAAAAAAAACCGAGGUAAAACUAUAGGCACAGAUUGGUAAUUAGACCAGUUUUUAUUAUAAAACCAACUUCCCUGUGAAUUGGAUGAAUUGCACUUCCAAGGAGAGAAAAAUUUUGGCUUUUUAUGAAGACCCAACCAGUAAAAUUUCAAUUAAGAAGCAGAAUAUUAUUUGACAUACCUGUAAAAGCUAGCAUCAGCUUGGCUCUUCUCACGUGCGACGUACAUUUGAUUUUCGAUCUCCUGUUGCCUCUUGGCGCUGUCCCUUUCCAUUAGCUUUUGCUCCAUAAGAAUUUUGCUGACCUGAGCAUUUUUUUCUGCUUCUGAGAGAGCUAUUUUCUUCUGGGUUUCGGCUUCCUUUUCUGCGACCUUCUGUCUCUCCAUGGCGAUUAAAGCCUACAAGAAACAGGUUAUGUAAACAAGUCUAUGAUGAAUUCCUGAUCCUCGACGAAAGCAACAAAUAUAGAAUAGAAUGAAAUAAACGUAUAAAAAGCAAAGUGGAUACCUUAGUGCGUUCCUCCUCCAUAAGUUCAAAAUUCCUCUUAAUACUGGCAGGGAUAUUUGGCUUUGUAACACGAACACCGAUAAUUUCAAUUCCAGGAGCAUACUGUGUGCAAUCUCUUUGAAUAGCCUCUUUCAUCUUUUCAUCAAUCUGAAACAUCGUCAUCAUUAAAUAAAUAAAAACCAACAAAAUCACGGAAAAUUUAGCAAUGAACUCUACAUAUUCUUAUUUCUACUAAUUCAUAGGAAUAUUUCAUCUGAGUUCCCAAGGAAGGUUUCAGAUUAAUGUGCUUACCUGAUCAAACAUGUCGAUAUAAACUUGCUGCAGGGUGUGAGCACUGCAGAACUGAUUUAUUUCAUGAUGAAUCUUAUCAUAUAUCCACGUCUUAUCAUAAUGUACGCCAUAAUUGAGCAAAGUUUCAUAGACAUAUUCUUUUCUAAGUCGAUUCACAACCUGCAAACAAGGAAUGUUUAUAAGGGAAAGAUAAGAAAAU